GCGCAGCAGUCGAGAAACCUCCGCAAUACACGAAAGUGUGACGGGGCCAUCCCGAGUGCCGUCCGCUGAGGACGGCUUUUCCCCAGUGUACACAGCUGGGGGAAUAAGGAGAGGGCAAGCCUGGUGUCAGCCGCCGCGGUAAUACCAGCUCUCCGAGUGGUGGGGACGCUUAUUGGGCCUAAAGCAUCCGUAGCCGGCUGGGCAAGUCCUCCGUUAAAUCCAACGAUUCAAUCGUUGGGCUGCGGGGGAUACUGUCCAGCUUGGGGGCGGGAGAGGCCGACGGUAUUCCCGGGGUAGGGGUGAAAUCCUAUAAUCCCGGGAGGACCACCAGUGGCGAAGGCUGUCGGCUAGAACGCGCCCGACGGUGAGGGGAUGAAAGCUGGGGGAGCGAACCGGAUUAGAUACCCGU
Molecule: ribosomal RNA, 409 nt
Filed under: uncultured microorganism
Description: bacterial SSU rRNA
Rfam family: Archaeal small subunit ribosomal RNA
Source: RNAcentral